GCACCUUCCAGCAGAAGUAUCCACUGGGUCCACAACUGUGCACGUGCAUGCACGGACUUUUCUCUUUUCACUGCACUUUAAUUAUUGUCAAAAAUUCUAGCAAAACUGUCAGUAUUUUCUUUGCUGCACAUUGAAAUGAAUGUUAUUAAUUUUCUUGACACAUCUUCAAUGUAACUGUAACAGUACUUUUCCCCUUAGAUUGCAUCAAAAGACCUUGUUUAGUUUUGUUAGGUAAAUUAUGUUUUUCUUCUAUUUCUUCCCCAUGUUCUAGUCUUUCAGUGGUAAGCAAUGGUAACAGUUUUAUGAAACCAAUGCUUAAACAAGAAAGCUCACAAGUCUGGAUGGUUUUGGGAGCUAAACACUUUCACUCACAUAAGCAGCUGUAUGAUUAAAAUUAACUGCCAGAAAUCACUAGUAGUAAAUUAAGAAAACAAGGCUGUAUCUCUUUGUUUAAAAAUGCAACCAUGGUUUUUGUUCUUCUAAGCAGGGAUAACGGAGGACAAACAUAAACACAAAAUGAGAAGCAAGAGAUCCAUCUACUAUCAAUCAAUUACUUGUUUCUGCAGACUUGAUAACCUCUGAUACUGCUGCUGCAGCGCAACUACCCCAUUACUCAAGAGAAACACACAUUUCUGAAUGAAUCACACGCUUCUGCUAAUGUUCACCAUGAUGCUGAUGAGCUCACACGUUAACAUGGCACAGAAAACAGCCUGGGUUUCUGAAAGCUCAGCAGAUGCCCCGAGAGAGGCCCAAGGUCCCCAGUGGGGCUCACUGGUCUGACUCCACUCCUCUUCAGCAGUAACGGCAAGAGCCUUCCAGAGAGAUGCUGGUGGUCUUGGCACUGCUCCUGGUGGACAACUGUCCACCUCACACCUGGCUCAGCCUCAGCUGAGGCAAGAUCGGGACACCAAAGCUUUUGACUUGAUCCAGAAUAACUCCCAUGAGCUGUAAUGUGAACUACAGAUUCCUGUAAAGCCCACAAAAACCCCACUAAGAGCCCAAUCCUGCAUUGACAAAGAGAAGAGGAGA
Apus apus (common swift) is the source of this 1029-nucleotide long non-coding RNA. RefSeq lists it as uncharacterized. The transcript has 3 exons. The record is from RefSeq and is a predicted model, not a curated record. Lineage: Eukaryota; Metazoa; Chordata; Aves; Apodiformes; Apodidae.